This 213-nucleotide unclassified non-coding RNA is filed under the name Hevea brasiliensis (rubber tree). The record is from RNAcentral. Lineage: Eukaryota; Viridiplantae; Streptophyta; Magnoliopsida; Malpighiales; Euphorbiaceae.
UUUAGUGGACUCUGGCUUCAUGAUGGUAGGAGCAGCCGGUCUGAUGACUGCUGCUGAUGCAGUUGAAACUGUUGGCUUGGGUUUGGAUUUUGGAACAGCAGUCUCUCUCCUUACGCGAACUGAAGCAGGAACCAUAGCUGUAAGUUGCAGUGUGCUGUGCUAAUGGCCUCUUAACAACAGUAGAUGCAGCAGAUUUGACAUAAGAUGGCUUCU